AAGUCGUAACAAGGUUUCCGUAGGUGAACCUGCGGAAGGAUCAUUACAAAUUUCGACCCCUCAAUUGGAGAUAGUUGUGCGUGAGCGCAACUAUCUCCAAUUGACGGGGGGAGCAUCAGUUUGAAUUGUAGUGUGAAAGCAUCACAAGACACUCUGGUACAAUCGUGCGUUUUUGGUGUCGUGUGUUGUAUGGUUGCAAGAUCAGACAAUACAUUAACCAAACACAAACAAUCACGCUUAUUUUGUUUGACUGUAAUAUAUAACCAAAAGAUACAA
This 276-nucleotide unclassified non-coding RNA is filed under the name plant metagenome. RNAcentral describes it as "partial contains small subunit ribosomal RNA and internal transcribed spacer 1". The stretch from base 1 to 46 matches the Rfam family "Eukaryotic small subunit ribosomal RNA", at positions 1786 to 1831 of the family's 1831-position model. The record is from RNAcentral.